This 379-nucleotide unclassified non-coding RNA is filed under the name uncultured Bacteriovoracaceae bacterium. Its description in RNAcentral is "contains 16S-23S intergenic spacer region". The record is from RNAcentral. Lineage: Bacteria; Pseudomonadati; Bdellovibrionota; Bacteriovoracia; Bacteriovoracales; Bacteriovoracaceae.
UCCGGUUUGUCACCGGCAGUCUGAAGUGAGUCCCCAACUUAAUGCUGGCAACAGACGAUAGGGGUUGCGCUCGUUGCGAGACUUAACCCAACAUUUCACAACACGAGCUGACGACAGCCAUGCAGCACCUCUCACUACAUUUCCUUGCGGACACUCCAGGCAUUACCCCGGAUUCGUAGGAGUUCAAGCCUAGGUAAGGUCCUGCGCGUUGCUUCGAAUUAAACCACAUAAUCCACCGCUUGUGCGGGCCCCCGUCAAUUUGUUUGAGUUUUAAUCUUGCGACCGUACUCCUCAGGCGGGAUGCUUAACGCGUUAACUUCGCUACUGACCGGGUCGAUACGGCCAACAGCUAGCAUCCAUAGUUUACGGCGUGGACUAC